AGAAUCAACGCUGGCGGCGUGCCUCAGACAUGCAAGUCGAACGCGAAAGUCCCCUUCGGGGGACAAGUAGAGUGGCGCACGGGUGAGUAACACGUAGGUAAUCUACCUUCAGAUGGGGAAUAACAACCGGAAACGGUUGCUAAUACCGCAUAAUGCAGCGGCACCUAAUGGUGACAGUUGUUAAAGCGGGGGAUCGAAAGACCUCGCGUCUGAAGGGGAGCCUGCGGCGGAUUAGCUAGUUGGUAGGGUAACGGCCUACCAAGGCGACGAUCCGUA
RNAcentral lists this ribosomal RNA (276 nucleotides) under uncultured soil bacterium. RNAcentral describes it as "partial 16S ribosomal RNA". It matches the Rfam family "Bacterial small subunit ribosomal RNA", at positions 26 to 285 of the family's 1533-position model. The record is from RNAcentral.